Molecule: ribosomal RNA, 426 nt
Filed under: uncultured Alteromonadaceae bacterium
Lineage: Bacteria; Pseudomonadati; Pseudomonadota; Gammaproteobacteria; Alteromonadales; Alteromonadaceae
Description: bacterial SSU rRNA
Rfam family: Bacterial small subunit ribosomal RNA
Source: RNAcentral
AGAACUGGCAGACUAGAGUCUUGGAGAGGGGAGUGGAAUUCCAGGUGUAGCGGUGAAAUGCGUAGAUAUCUGGAGGAACAUCAGUGGCGAAGGCGACUCCCUGGCCAAAGACUGACGCUCAUGUGCGAAAGUGUGGGUAGCGAACAGGAUUAGAUACCCUGGUAGUCCACACCGUAAACGCUGUCUACUAGCUGUGUGUGCCUUUAAGGCGUGCGUAGCGAAGCUAACGCGCUAAGUAGACCGCCUGGGGAGUACGGCCGCAAGGUUAAAACUCAAAUGAAUUGACGGGGGCCCGCACAAGCGGUGGAGCAUGUGGUUUAAUUCGAAGCAACGCGCAGAACCUUACCAACCCUUGACAUACUUGUCGCGAUUUCCAGAGAUGGAUUUCUUCAGUUCGGCUGGACAAGAUACAGGUGCUGCAUGGCU